UUGAUUUUUUACCUUUGUUAAAAAUGUUAUGAGUACAGGCUAAUAUGUGAAUAUUAUACAAUAAGAAUAUAUACAUAUAUAUAUAUAUAAUUUAUAUUUAACAUUAUAUAAUAUACAGAAUAAUAAAAUAAAUAAAUGAUAGGGCAUAAAUGAACUAGCACAUAGGUACACAUAAAAUACCAGUCAAACAGGCAUGUCAGAAGAGAGAAAUGGGGAGGAGAGGUCAUACAGAGAUAGUGGGAACGCAAUUACAUUUGAAAAGAGGCUAAUUCCUAAGCUAGAAAGCACCAUUGUUUACCUAUCCAGUUAAAAUCAAAUAAGAAAGGAAAACUUCAGUGAACUGCCGCAACAGGGAAUGUUUCCUGAGCUACACUCAGAAUUCUGGGAAUGCCAAGGCCCUUGUGAGUGAGUCAUGCUUGUCACCUAUGAAAGUUUGGGGUUUUUUUGUUUGUUUGUUUUUUGUUUCUUUAGAAUAAGAACAGAAGACAUUAGCCCUUUCCCACCAUGUCCCCAACCCCCAUUUUCUUUCUUUUUUUUUUUUUCAUUUUCCAAACCAUUUCUGGAAGAAUUCGGGUCUCUCCUUUUCUAAACCUUUUAUCCCUUUUCUUUAUCUCACAGUGGUCUCAGGUCUAAGACACCCAUGAGAAAACUAUUAAGGAAUGUAACAAGUAAUUUUGAAAAUGAAGUUUACCAAGAAUCAACGCUAACCAUGGACAAGGGUCAUGCAUUUAGUUGGUAGUGGUGACUGGCUUUGAGAGAUCAUUCAAACUGGCUGAAAUUUUAAAGCAUGUUUCAUCGUCUUUUGUGUAAAGUCUUAGGAGACUUAACUGUCAUUAAUUAGGGGAUAUGUGGCAUGUUUAAGAGAAUAAUAAUGAGAUUAUCUUGGAGUUUUCAUUAACUUUUAGAGGCUAGCUAACAGAAAGUAUACUGCACACCCCCAAAACAGCAAACUGGCAGAGUUCAGAAGUCGUCUUAGGUAAGAAUCUAGGCUGAACUUCGAUAAUGACCUCAAAGCAUGAAGUAGAAUAAUUUGUGAUUUACAGACGUCAGCAGGAAUUGACCCAAACAAGACACAUCCUAUUUCCAUCACUUACUCCUAGGAUGGAAGCUAUUAGAACAGCACAGAAUCCCUGAUCCAAUUUCUUCAACAUAGUGGACAGCACUUCUCUUGUCCUUGCUUGGGAUAAAAGUGUGUAAUGAGAACAACGAUAUGCCAAAAAAAGGGGAAGGGAUCUGUCCUCAGUCUGCAGUAGUCCACAGUGUUUGCCUUAAGGCACUGGCUCUGACUGGCCCUGUCUAUAGCAGGGUUGUAGUGACAGCAGCAUACCUGGUGGCACACCACCUUCAGGGUCACACUCUGGGUUCACAUCCUGACUCUCCUACAUAUCUGUAUGUCUCUAGAUAAUGUUCUGAAUUUUUCUGAGGGUUUCCACAAAUUUCUUUCAUAUAAGGUGGGUCAGCAGGGCACAAUGAUGCAUGACUGUAGUGUUAGUACCCAGGAGGCUAAGUCAGAAGGAUGUCCUGAAGUUCAUGGACAGCCUGUUUUCCACAGCGAGUUCCAGACCAUCCUAGGUUCUAUAGAAAGAUUUUGUUUUGAUAAAAUGAAAGAAGACAAAUGAUUAAACAGGAACCAAUGUCAUAAUACACACUUUCAAGAGUUGUAAUGCGGUAGUAUGCUGUAUAAAGUGUAGCAUCUGGUCAGAGAAACAGACUGGAAACGGUAGCUCUUUAUUACACAUUAAACGCAUUGUCUGAGAAUAAUGAGCUAAUAUGUGGGAUGCUGAAAUCAGGACCCAGAAAGGUCUCACUAGGCUGGACUCAAGGAGCAAAUCUAAUAGGGUGGCCUUUAACAAGGAUAAAUGUAAAAGCAGUGUGAUUCGAUCUAAACAGCAAGUGGCAGACACCCGGUGGGGAGAUGAGUGCUAACAACUGCGCACCUGAACGAAGGCUUGGGCGCAUCAUUGACUCUUUGCUAAUUUAGGAUCAAUGGUAGAAGUCCACCAAAAAGCAUACAUAAGUCUGUGCAUUGUCUGGCACAAAGGAAGAAAUAGUAGCUGUAUCCUCUGCCAUUCCCUGGACCUCACAUGCUUUCAAGGGUGGUGAUAAAUGGAGCUAGGAUUAGGAAAGAGAUGUACAUUUAAACGGAGCAAAACAGGAGGAGGUAAGGAAAACUCAUGAAGGUGCUGGAUCCGUGUUUCUGAACAUUCAAAAAGCAGUAUGUAUAUGAUGAAUAAAAUCCCUUAUAGCAAAUUUCUGGCUCCUACUCUGCUUCGAACUGCGCAGGAGAGCAAGAAGGAUGGGUGUAAGUGCCAGGAAGGAAGAUUGCUGCUUAUGCUACAAAGAACGCACCUUCAAUCAUUAACCCUGUCUCCAAGUGGGGACCUAGUGAAUUCCCCCCAGCGCUGGGAAGGCCCAGGGAGAAGCUGAAGCAUCAUCACCUGCAAAGGAUGCUGUACGGUAACUACACUGUCUCCUAGUUCAAGCUCAGUCUGCCUACCGUAGAAGUCAUAGGCAAAGGUAGAUUCUCCCCUGGGGAGAAGGUUCAGAGCUCUCUUUAGAUCAUUUAAAGAACCUCACAUCCCCUCUCAUCCCUCUCUCAAAAGAUGGAGACGGAAAGCUUGGUUUGAUGCAUCCUGUCAUUCAAAUGUAUACAAACUUCGUUCUCUGCUGUGAUGGUGUACAAUAGAAUGCCACACGUGAGUGACAGCAUUCUGCUCUUCCUGGGGACCAUCCCUUCAGCUUGGGGACUGAGGACUCUGCCAGAGACAAUAGUCAAAGUCCCUCAACCAUGUUCGCAGUCCUCUCAAAGUGGUGUUUUCCAGGGUCACCAAGGACUCCAAGGGGAUGAGACACCAAAGCCACAGACAUUCCGUAAAACCCUACCAAGGCCCUGGGAACUGUUUAUCUCUGGCCCUGACCUCUCCAAGACCCUAUCCCGCCUGUCUAUUAUGGGAUAGGUGUGUGAACUAAAAUGUCCUGAAACGAGAUGCCAUGGAAACUGCAGGAAAAUACCUUCACUUAGUUCAUGAAAACCCAAAUCAGCAGCUGCUUGUGCCUGUAUGCACACCUCCAUUAAACUGUCAGGCUGCUUUACAUUUAUUUACCCUCCAUGUACUGCCUGUUUAUUGGGCUAAUAAAUUGGAGGCAGUAAUAUCUACUCACCAAAACCCUACCUGUCUUCCAGGGCCUGGCUGUCACCUUACAUUCUCCAGAUGUCUCCCCAGGUACUCUGCACAUGGAAAACACGCUAUUCUCUGAACAGAGGAGCCAUCUACUGUGUGUGCCUCUUAUUAAGCACUGGCUGUUUACCUCUCUGGUUGUUACUUCUCUGGAUUCUUUUACUUAGCUGGAUUUUCUAGUUUUCAACUAGCUGAAGUCUUACCUGAUGAAGCCAUUAAUUCUUGCUUACUGGGGCGGAGCCAAAGCUCACGAUUGACUUUCACUGUGAGAUUUAGAGGCAUGAGCGUCCGGUUGCUAAGUAGGGAGUCAUAUACCUAUCUUGGGGUCUUUAAAAAAAUGUUAGAGCCAGAUAGAGCCACACACAGGAAGGCAGUCUGCUUUGCCAUGGCCUGUGGAUUCACCCAGUCUCCCUGGAAAGAACAGAAAGAGGGAGACAGAUCCCACGGGUUUUCACAUUGUAGACUUGACAUUAUGGUUUUAGGGUUUUCCAAGGUCUAAUGGCUCCAAGGAACACUGUAGGUCUGGCCUAGCUUUUUGAGACAGAGUCUCAUUAUGUAGCACUGGUUGUCUUGAAAUUUGUUUUAUGUCCCAAACAAGCCUUGAAAUCACAGAGAUCUGUCUGCCUCUUCCUCCCACAUGCUAGAGAUGGCAUGCACACACCAUCUGGCUUGUUCCAGAGCAUGUAACCAGAGGGGUAAAUAGUUGGUGCUUAAUAAGAGAUGUACAUGGUAAAUGCAGCUGUUCCGAGAAUAGCACGUUCUCCGUGAGAAGAGCACCUGGGGAGACAUCUGGAGAAUGUACGGUGACAGCCAGGCCCUGGAAGACAGGUAGGGUUUUGAUGAGUGGAUACCACUGUCUCUACAAUUGAACUCAGAUUCUCAGCUUGCACAUGGCUUGGCAUCUUUAUGUUGUGCCAGAGACACAAGAACAGACUUUCAAACUCUCAACCAAGGCCAGUUCUUUUGCUCAUAGCCAAAAGAGCUUUCUCCCAGUCAGUCAGACCCAACCAAACAUAGAGAAUCACUGACUUAGAUGAGGAAAUGGAGUUGAGGUUUGACACAGUUGAAAUCUAUAGUUGCUUUAAAAGUGGAACAGCUUGCUGUCUACAAUUACCUGACUCAGAACAUUGGUUCUGAGAGGGACCAAAAAGCUGAAUAGACACCCACAUUUACCUUCUUCAGGAAGCAUCCUGUUUCCAACUGGCCAUUACCUAGACAUAGGCUGCCAGGUUCAAAUUAUGAGCAAGUGUCUGGGUAUAAACCAAGACUUCUCUGAGGGCCUUUCUCUAAGUCCAAGCCAUGAUGCAUGUUUAAAGCUAGCCAGGAUUCAUGAGACACCAAAGAGCCCAAGGCCAGAGAAUUCCUUUACAUCUCCAACCCCAACCCAGGCACUCCCUACCCUCAGAAUGCUAGUUCUUCUGGCCCCUUCUAUCAUUUGGACAGUGUUGUUUGCAAAUCAAACUGGCUCCCAAGGUCAGAGAAGUCUAGUUCUCCUCUCCUAUUCUCCUCUGUGUAGGGCUCUCAUGGCUGAGGCAAGCAUUUGAACUCAGGGGUAGGUAAAGCUGACAUUAGAGCAGAAGCAUGCUACUUGCCUGUGAAGCCUGCCUCUGCCACCUUCCACACUCCCUCCUCCACCCACUGGCAAGAUGCAAGCAACACCAGCUGGGUCAGCAUCCUUCCCUACGCUGCUGCCAUUAUGGCCUCUCAGAAACCCAAGGCCACACCAUAGGAACAAAGGACAUCUCAACGUGGACGUUGGCUACAGUCAUUUAGAAGUCACCUUGGGCCAAUAGCCAUUUUCUUAAGCUAGUACUGUACCCAUCUGGAAAUCUCCAUUUGGCUGGGAGCUGUUCUAUUCUUUCUCUUUCUGCCUUUUCUCUUCCUACCACACAAAACGCUCGAGACCCACCUGAGACCUAACAUUUGUCUGUUUUGAGAAUAGAUGAGUAUUUAUUAGAAUUAAACAGCUGGGAGCCCCGUGAUAUUUAGACGGGUAUUAGGAGGAAUGUAUGAGAAGAAGAUAAUGCUGGGUCUUUUUGUCUGUAAACCAGUCUGGGCUUAGUUACUGAGGGGAUUUCUUGGAUCUCCUGUGAGCGCCAGAUACAGUUAAUUUCCUGCAAAAGCUGCGGGCUAGGCCGUGCUGAUAUUGCAGUGUUAUUUAGAAUAGAAAGGUCAGGCCUGAGAUUGAAUAAUCACUGACAAGAAAUCCACAGGGCAAAGGAGGCAGUUGGUGAGUAGUCAGACUUAUUUCUCCCUUCCCCGACUUCCCUUCAUUCCUGGGUAUCUGUUGAUUCUGGAGUUUGUUUAAUAUUCUUUUUGCAACUGUUUCCCAAAUUCGGAGCUGGUAGGAGAUGUGUGUUGAGACAAAGAGGGGACAGAUUCCAAGCCAUCAAUGGAGAUGGGACAUUUAGUCUCAUAGACUGGGUCUAUUUAUUCUGGGCCAUUGGCCUUGGGUACCUGUGUAUGAAUUUUUCCGACCAUACAUGGUGGUUUUUCUUCUCAACAGUUUGAAGCACCCUGUCCCUAAACAUGGUGCUUUCUUUUCCUGCAUAGCAUCUGAGCUAUCCACCGUGUGGCCCAGUUUAAAGUCUGCCCUGUGUCUGGAGGCAAAUAUCAGCCUCUGAAAAGCAUAGAGGAGAAUCCGAAGAAUGGAACAUGUGUCGUGUGUGAGGCUGGAGUAGUUUAUGAAUUCUAGCACCCAUGGGAGUCCCGCUUUACUAAUGGGAAAGGCACCAGAGAAACUGGAUGGCUUGCCCAAGACUUCUCAGUUCCUGCACAGCAGAGUAAGGGUGUAAAAGCUGGGGAUUUCUAGGUACCAAGUUCAUUGCAUCCUUCAAAGGGUCCCAGUCUCAAUGGGGACGUCUCAGGGGUUCUGUCCUCUUUCCCUUUAUCCAGUCACCCUAAGGGGUUUCUUGGAAAUUUUAUUUAAUACAAGAGUUUCUCUCUUGUAUUAUUAUUAUUAGCUGUCCCCUGGGAUGACUGAUCCUACAAAUUAAGUGGCGUAGACUUGAGACCUGUUUGUAAAGAAUGUGGAUGGGCGAGAGGAAUGUUGGCACCCCUUUUGAUUCUCAGAUGCCACAUAGUUUAUUUAUUUUGAAAUUCUUUAUUUCAUGUUUGGACUUCAUCAAGAGGACUGUGAAUCUGAGGCCAGACUGGGAUAUACAGCAAGUUCAAGGCUAGCCUGGGCUACAUAGUAAGAUGCUGACACCCCCAACCCUCCAAAGUAAAAAAAACAAGACUGGGCAUGAGUAGCUCACACCAAUAAUCCUAGCACCUCAGUGUUGAGGCAGGGGGAGUAUCAUGUAUUUGAGGACAAUCUGGAUUAUAGAAUGAGAUUCUACCUCAAAGCUUGUGGCCACACAUGUGCACAUGCACGUACACACACACACACACACACACACACACACACACACACACACACACACACUAAAAGACCUAAGUGGAUGAAGGCAAAGUUGGGUACUAGAUUAGGUACUGGAAUGAUUCCUUAAACUUAGAGGUCAUCUUGCUUAAUUUGGCAACGGUAUGGGUACAAAUAAUAAAACAAUCAGCACGUCAUCUAUCUAUCAUGAAUUGUGAGUUGGCACCUAGGUUAUGGUGAAAGGCCUUCAAGCAUCCUGAGUACAGCCAGCUAAGGGCCAGAGCACGUGAUUCUGAGGAUAAGGAAAGGCAAAAGGUUAUAAGGUCAGGCUUGGAAUGCUAUGUCUAGGUUUCUCCCAAUUUAGGCACAGAUAGCAACAAGUAAUGAUAUGACUUCAUGACACUAUAGCUUUAGCACACACUGGCCCGUCUGUUGAUGUCAUCAUAGUGUUCUGGCAUCUGGUGACAUUUCUCAUGCUUUUCAUAACUCUGGGCUUGAAUCAUGAGGACCAUAUAUGACAGGUUGGGCUGAAGGGAGAACAGAUCGUGGACUCCUGUCAUCCUUAGCUGACAGAGACAUAAUAGCAAGAUUAGAUUGCCAAGUCAUCUGCUUUAUGCAAAUUCAGUUCCUAAAUUGAGACACAGUGUGGCGAUUCCUGUUCCCAAACCAGGUAUCUAGUAAUGAGUACAAACAUCGCUUGGGGUUGACGGAGGUUUUGACACAGCACAAGUGCUUAAAAGCCAUGAUCUGGUGGCUGCUACAAGAACCAGGACCUUGGAGUCCCAAGUUUGACCUCCAAUGGGACUCUCCUUUCUCUGUGCCUAGCAUCAGUAUCCUGAAGCUACAAAGCAUAAGGUUGUACACUGGCUUUGAGUGUUUAUCUUUCAAAAGCCUUGAGUCGUUUAGUGCAGGAAGGUGGCUGCUAGCUUUUGUCAAUGCAGCUGUACGUGAGUUAUGAUAGUGAGAGGAAGUACUGAUACACAGAGCAGGAGCCUGUGUGCCCAGGGAGUGGUGAAACCAGACUCUCGGCUCCGGCUUCCUUACUUUGUGCCUUACAGAAAGUCGCACACCCUCUCUGAACUUCCGUGUUUCCAUUUGUGACGAGUGGAACCUCGGAACCUCGGCACCUACUUAAAGCUGUUGAGAAAAGCGUGUACAAACCCUUAGAACUCCACCUAUUUCACAGUAAGCACAAAUAUGUGGAUAGGUGCUUCUCCAGCCUUGCCAAGCAGGCACAUCUGAGAAGCACCAUUUGAGUGCCAGGAUCUAUGGUAAGCACACAAAUUAAUUAGGAGGCAACUGGCUUCUGACCUGGCUCUAGCAAUGGAAGCUUCAGGCUUCCGAGACCUGGAUGUGGUUCCACAAGCCAACCUUAGAAUGAGUCUUUGGGCUGUUUUAGGGCAGCACGAACUGACUCUCUGACUCCAAAUAGAUUUAUUGCACACCUCUAGGAGGCAGGCACCUCCAUUAGUAAUUUGUCCCGUAGCCCCUGUGUCUGGGUUUUAUUUCUUGCAGAAAUGGAACUGUGACACCUGCCCCCUUUGGGUUCAUGCAAUGGUUGUGAUGCUCCAAAGGAAUAUGUCAGCACAACUUUUGAAAUGCUUGACACAUCUGUGGUACCAACAUUCGAACCAUGACAAGUGUCACCUCUGUAGGUUGGUGGCCCUGUUGUCAGAUGGCAAACACCCCCCCCCCCACUUCAGAGAGAGUGCAGAUGAGAAGGAUGACCUCGAAAAUACAAUCUCUGUGGUGCCAUCUGGCAUCCUCUUUGCCUUUGAUUUAUUAGUGCCCGCCUCUCCCUGUGCGGUACCAUAAAGGCAGGUUGUGUGACACCUUUACUGUCUGGCACGACACGAAGCAGCAUGAUCUCAUGCAUGCAGGGACAAGGUGUGGAGGCUCACCUCUGCCUCCCUCCACAGGAUUCCAGGCUGCGCCUGGCCACACGUACUGUUCAGGAACCACUGGCCAUUCUAGCCGCUCUGGAAAAGGUAGAGAUGAGCCAGGGCAGAAACAGGUCAGCCAAGGUCCAGCCAGGUGGGAUGUGUCUCGACAACCUGUCACGUCCCCCUCUUCCAGGUUGUUCUGGUGCCUGCCGUCCCUGAAGUUUAUAGGUGUCAUUACCUAUGAAAAAUCUCUUCCAUCUGAAGAUAGUCCGGGCUGGGGAUGGGUGGCAGAUUGCAAUUUAAUGACCAGAUUAAAAUAUGCUAAAGCAAACAAACAAAUAAAUAAAAAUCCCAGCAGCCCGGAGCUCUGCAAUUCAUUCUGUGGGCAAGAGAGGCUGGGGCUCCAGGGACCGGCUCAUAAUUCACCCCAUCGGCAGGUUUAGUAGGCUGUUACUGUAUGACCACAAGGGGAAACAACUCUCUAAGAAAGAUUUACACUGACUGCCACUGGAGGCUGAAGGGCUAGGGGCCAGGAGUAGAGGAUUUGGGAAACAAACAGGUCCUGAUGCUAACCAUGGGAAACACCAGCCCCUACACUGACCCGUGCAACAAGAGAGGUUCAUAUUCCCUUCCUUUUCUGAGUUCUCCCUGACCCCUAUGUUGCUCAGCAGGAUUAAGUCACUCCUUCUCAUGGCAACUGAAACCAAGGUCAUAAUGCCACCUAUUGAAAUGGAGGCUCGGUUUUCUAUCUCUGUCUUAACAGACUCGCUUGUUUUCGAAGGGUAGGGAAAGCAGUGUUCUUUUGCUAUUCUUGAUUUCAGGUAUAAUUUUGAGUCACUGUUCAGUGAGCGAACGUGUGAGUGAGUGGUAUGUGUCGGGAUCUGUGUGACUCAGGGGGAGUCACAGCCUGUUAGCAUCUAACAGGAACUGGUUCUAGACUCCAAGGAGAUACCAAAAUCCAAGGCUGUAUAAAAUGGUAUAGUGUUCUCACCAUGUAACCUGUAAAUAUCUUAUGCUUUUAGUCAUCUCUAGAUAAUUUAUACUAUGUACUGCAAUGUAAAAGUUGCUUAACUGUCAUUUUUUAAAAUAUUUUUUAAGUGUGUGUGUGUGUGUCUGUCUGUCUGUCUUUUUAUGUUCAGGGAUCUGACAAGUUUUCAGGUGUCUGUGGAGGUCAGAAGCAUCAGAUCUCCUGGAGUUGUAGUUAUAGGAAAUUGUGUCACCUUAUGUGGAUGUUGGGGACUCCAUUCUUUGGGAAGAGCAAUACUCAUUCUUCACCUUGGAGCUAUCACUGCAGCCCCCAAAUUGUUGUUAUUGGGGGUUUAGGGAACAAUGACCAAAAAGUCAGUGUCUGUUCAAUAUAUAAGUAAUUUAGAAAUAUUUUUGACCCUUUGUUGAGGUCAUAGAUACAGAGCCUGCAGGGGUGACAGGCCAGCUGUGCUGUGUACACACUCUCAUUUAGUGAAGAAAAGGUGGGAAAAUGACAUUAAGACCAGCCUUUGCCUCUUUGGCCUUUGAUUUCUCGAGGAACUGUCCUUUGAUUUUCCUGGCCUGCAGGUCUACUCCCUGCCAGUUCCUCUCUUGAAGCAUAAUCCUUGUCCCUGCUGGUCCUUGUCCUCUGCUGAACAUUCUCUUUGUUGUCCCUUAUUACAUGUCUAGCUAAUUUGACAGUUUGAGCGUUCAAGGCAGUUACUACUUAAAAAGACAAUGUUGACCCUAUUGACUAAUUCAGUUUUCUUCAUUAUAGAUGCUCAUAGGAUCGUAUCUAUCUUACCUAUCCAGAUAAAUAACAGGUAGAUAUUACACAGGCACUCUCAGUAGAUGGUGAGCAUUGUCACAAGAAGGACUAGGUAGUGUGUGUGUGUGUGUGUGUGUGUGUGUGUGUAUGCAUGCAUGCACGUGUAUGCAUAUAUGUACUUAUGUGUGUAUAUGUGGACAUGAGUGUGUGGGUGUACACAAAAAGGCUUAGAGACACAGGUUAACCUCCCAUGUCUUUCUCAGUAUGUCUGUCUACCUUGUGUUCUGAGACAGGGUCCUUCACUGGCAUAGAACUAGGCUGGCUGGCCAGUAAGUCCCAGGGGAUCUGUCUGUCUCCUCUUCCCCAGCACUGGGAUUAGAAGGGUGCAACAUUGCAUUUUAGUUGGCUUCUGAGGCUCAAACUCAGGUCCUCAUGCUCGUGUGGCAAGCACAGUACUGGUGGAGCUGUUAACUCAGACUCAGCCUUCUUCACUCGUCAUCCUAGCACUCCGGUUGACACAUCUCCAUGGAGACAUCAAAAGUUCGGUGCUUAGUGGAAUGUUACAUCUCCAUAGGGUCUUCUCAUUUCUCAUGAAAAGACAUCUAUGCAGCUCUCCUUUCCCCUAUCCUGCCACUCUAUGACCUGUCACCUUUGCCCACUGAAAUAUAUGCAUGGUGAUUUCAGACACGGAGCCCCAUAGAGCUAGAGCAUGGGGCAGCUCUUCUCUAAGACCUGGCAUGGCUGGCGAUUGCUGCUGUACUUGAAGGGAAGAGAAGGGUGAGGAGCUCCGAGGUUAUCACUCAUUUCUACCCUUUGGGGAAACUUUGUUUUCUAUUCACAUCCAGCAAAUGAUGCUCUUGUACCAGUAACAAAUGUCAAGUGUUCUUCCUGGGACUUUGGGGAGACAGAGCAUUAGCAAAGGAGGAACAAUCCAGCAAAAAGGACAGGAGUUCUAUUUAAGGACAGGGAAGCUAAGUAACAAAUGUCACCCUGAGACACCAGGGAGACAGCUUUGCAUCAACAACCAUGAGUGCAGGGAAGAAAAAAAGAAGAAGAAGAAUAUGCCCACGGCGACCUGCGAUUAUCCUGGCUGCCUGCUUUCUAGAAUAUUCCAGGAACCUCCCUCUCAUGCUUGAUGUGAUCCUUAGCUCUCAGCAUUACCUUAUCUAUGGGCUAUGGUGCUGUCUGAGCUGAGUGUUGGGGGCCAUGUAGGGAAUUAGUGGGAGCUGCACACCAACGCUGACAUACACUUGAAACAGCAUUGCUAAUAAGAACACUGUGGCUCCAGCCCACAGUGGUUUGGCGUACGUUACAUUUCUUUGUUUAUUUAUUCAUUGAACAGUGGUGAACCCUGCUCAGUGGUAAGUGUGGGAGUCAUUGUUCAGUCCCCCUCUAUUCGAGGUUGGAACUGGGAUAAGGUCUUAUCCACCUUUCAUCCCCACUGAGGGUAAAGGAAAUGAGCUCCAAUUGGGGCUAGGGGAGGGUUCUCAGUUCAUAAGGGAGCAGGGAGAGGGUAAGUAAUUCCAACCAAGGCCCACGAGUGUUAGAUGAACAGGGUAACUGGAAUUCUGUCAGGUCUCAUGAGCCAUUGAACACAUCUGCACUGUGCAGUGAAAUCCAGAGAGGGUCUCUUGCAGGGUGAGCUUCCUUUUGAGUGAAAGAUAUUUGUACUUUUCUCCCCCAAAAGCAAAGUGCUGUGUGUGUGCAUGUAUUCUCAAGAAUGCAAGUAGGGGAGCAGGUGUGUAUGAGUGUGCACUUAUGUGUACUAGCACGUGUGAAGUCACAAGUCAACUUUGGUUGUCGUUUCUCAGAAACUGUCUACCUUUGGUUUUUUGAAACAGUCUUUCAUUAGCCUGAGUCUCUCAUCAAUCCAGUUAGGCAAGGUGGCCAAUAAACUCCAGGGAUCCACCUGUUUUUAUGUCCCCAGAAAGGAGAAACAAGCAUGUGCCACUGUGCCUAUUUUUAUAUGGGUUCUGGGAUUAUAUUUGCACAUCACAGACUUGCACAGCUGAGCCAUCUCCCCAGUCCCUCAAAGGUACCAUUUUAUCAUACCAGGAACUCUCUGGGCCCACACCACCAUCAUCUUUGGCCCAAAAUACUGUCAUCAUCUCUUCAGUGGGUCUUUAUUUCCAAACUUGUUUGCUUGUAUCCUAUUUGCAACAGCUGACAGAGCCAUACUCUCAAACUUGAAUCCCAUCACACUAUCAGUCCUGUGUCCCCACUUCCCCAAGGCCUACAAACUCAUGUUCAUCUCAGGUCUGUGCUGCCGUCCACCAUUAAUUUUCUGACCAUAGCACCCAUCUUAGUUACUUUCUAUUGCAGUGACAAGAUACCAUGAUCAGGGCAACUUACAAAAGUGGGAAUUUUGGGGGUGUGUUUGUGUGUAUUGCAAUUUCAGACGAUUAAUUAAAGUCAUAACCUUCACGGUGGGGAACAUGGUAGCAGACAGACAGGCGUGACACUGGACCAGUAGCUGAGAGUUUAUGCCUUGACCAACAGGCAAGAGUGCUAAUUGGGAAUAGUGUGAGCUUUUGAAACCUCAAAAUCUACCUCUAGUGACGCAUCUUCUCCACAAAGGCACACCUAUUAAUCCUUCCCAAACAGUUCUACCAAUGAGCGGGCAGCUACUCAAACAUAUGAGGCUAUGGGAGGGAUUUCUCAUUUAAAUCACCACAUUCUAUUCCCCACUCCCCAACCCCCGUAUGUUAUGGCCACCUCAUAAUGCAAAAUGCAUUUAGUUCAACUUCAAAAGUCCCCAUAGUCUUUCAGUCCCAACAUGAUUUAAAAGCCCAAAGUCUCAAAUGAGACUCAAGGUAGUCUCUUAAUUGUAACCUCCUAUGAUAUCAAAAAUUGAAUUAGAUUAUUUCAGCAUACAAUGGCACAGAAUAUAUAUUAUCAAUUCAAAAUGUCAGAAGGAUGAAAUGCUGGACUCAAGCAAGAUGGAAACCUAGAAGGAAAACUCCAACCUUGUACAUCCAUGCCUGGUGUUAAAGGACUCAGAAGACUCUGACUUCCCAGGUUGGCCGACCGUAAUAGCACCUAAUCGCUUCCUCCUCACUGAGCCAGAUACUCUAUUUACCUUGAAAUUCCUCAAAUCUCUUAUGUAUUCUCCAGCAUCAUGGCCUUUCAUGGGAUAGUCUUUCUUUCUGGAACAAUCUUAGUUAUCUUAGUGGGUUGCCUUGGUGUCCUGCAGCAUUUGUUCAAAACCACCUUGUCAUCCUGUGUUCAGGAUGUCUUUGUCUUGGCUUAUCACAUUGCCUCUGCCUGCCUCUCUUACCCUUCUGCCUGUUUGGUUCACUCUUUUCUUUACUGCAUCCUUCCCUUCCCACUAGAACUAAAGCUCCAUUGUAAUGGAAAACUGAAUCACGUGCUCUAACAGUGCCAGGUCAGUGGCUGAGGACGGCAGUGAACAAAGCCAAAUACAAAAUCAUAAAUGACUUAUGAUGUUAUGAGGUCUUUGUUGCAAGUGUAAGUGUGUGUGUGUGUGUGUGUGUGUGUCUGUAUGCAUAUAUGUAUGUGUUUAUGUAUGUAUGUAUACAUGUAUGUAUGGAACAGCAUAUCCACAUCCACAUAUGCACACAGAGAUAAAGGUCAAUGUUGGGUGUCUUCUUCAAUUGCUGUCUGCCUUAUACUUUUUAUCCAGGGUGUCAUUUAGCCUGUAACUUACUGCAGGGGUAGGAUGACUGGGCACUGACCCCAGGGAUCUACUUGUCUGCCUCCCUAGUACCAAUGUACACCAUUGUGCCUGCCUUCUAUACGUGGCUUCUUUGGGUAACUGAACUCAGUCUCUCAUGCUUGUGUGACAAGUCCUUUACCAGCUGAGCCACUGCCCCAUCCUCUCAAUAACCUAAACAUUUUAAAGAAAUCACACACUUAAUCUUUAGAAGUGUGUACAUGGAACUGCUCUUAAAGAAUUCUGAGGUUAGACUAUGAUAGUUCGUUUCACACCUGCUCCAUGCUUUCUCGGAACGCCCUGUUUCUCUUAGAACCCCUUUUGCUUUUGGACUGCUAAGUGCUGUGGUCUCCCUUUAGAGUAAUAAAGUCUCAGAGCCUUAUUUCAGUGGCUUCAGCAUCUCUCUCUCUCUCUCUCUCUCUCUCUCUCUCUCUCUCUCUCUCUCUCUCUCGACGUUUCUUUCUCUCCUUAACACCUCUCCCAUAAUACUUUGUUCUUCCGUAUGCCCUUCUCCUGUUCUCUCAGUUCUCUUUCUUUGUCCUCUCUCCCCGCACUUUCUCCCUGCUCUUCCUCCCUCUUCCUGAACACCUUUCCCAUUUUCUUCCUACUUUCCCCCAUUGGUUCCCUUCUUUCCUCCCUCCUUUCUCUCUUCCCCUCCUUUCUUUCUGUUUCUGGAUACCUACUAAGUGACCAGUGUGGCAAUUUGUUCUGCUUUUCUUUGUAGGAGUCAUGUGGUCCUUGGGGGUCUGAUGGUUGAUGUAAGGAGAUGAGACACUUACUAGAGAGAUUGUGGUAGAUCCAAAUACAGUGGGAGAGCUUGGAGCAGGGAAAGGUGAGCCUGGGAAGCACGGAGGCUUUCCCGAAGACAGACACCUGCCUGAAGAAUAAGUGGGGCUGCAUGUGUGAGGGUGGCAGUGUGGCAACUGUCAUUCCAGGUGUUUGACGUCAUGAUAUCGAGAACAAAUAAGAAAGGAAGAAAAAGCUAGAUCUGGGCUUUCUGUGGAUGGUAAGAGAAGAUAAUCCCUGAAUUAAGCCUGGAGGGAUGAGUAGCAAAGGGCCCUGAGAAUUCCAAAUAUUUCUUUUUUUAUUCAUCCUAAUAUUGUUUUCUUCAUCACUACAGAGCAACCUGGUUUAAGACAUCAAUUGCUGGUGGAUUCUAGUGAUCUCAGGAACUAGUGCUUUCCUAUCAGCCAGUUACUAGCCAGCACAUUGGAAAUGGGUGUAAAUUAAUUCCUGUGUGACUUGCGGGGAGGUGGUGUAACAGCUUCCCUGGCGAAGUUCAGUUCUAUCAUUCCUUUGUAUUACUUUUGAAUAGUGUAGAUUCCAGUCUUGGAUCCUUCCCUGGCAUUUGAUCAUUUCAAAUAUUCUGAUGGCAGCAUUUCCUCUGUCCCUUAAUAGAUUAUUUCAAGUCUUUCAACUGUAAGAUUGUUCUUAUUUAAACCCACAGCUGUUCCCAUAAUUUCAACCUAAUUCUGUUUCCUCUUAGUUUAUGUCUUUGUUAAUGGAUGUAAGGUUUUAAAUUCUUCCUCAAACUUCUACGUGGACAAGUAGAGUUGCAUUCAUCCCAAGACCCCAGAAGUUCUAUUGACUUUUGCUCUGUCUUCAGGAUGCUUUGACCUAAUCUUCUAUUUUCUGGGAAUGGAAAGUGUCUCUUGGUACAUGGGAUGUGGCCACAGCAGGCUUGCUCAUUGAAGAAGUGCAAGAUAAGUAUAGAAGACAGGUGUCUGUCUGAUGACUACAAUGUCUUAAGCAACAGUCUCCUGAGGUAACGGCCCAGGGAACUCAGCAGAGAUCUUGCUAUUGAUAAGGAAAGUCUUGAGUAGGGAAUAUAGUAAUUCGGAAUAAAGUAGGAACAUGUGAAGAAGCAGGGCAGUGGAUCUAGGAAUAAAAGAUUGGGUUUACAUCAUUGAAGGUCAAGGCGCAGGGAUAUGACUGCAGUAAAGUUGAGUGUGGAGGAUGGGUGGUGAAUGCUGUGGAAUCACAUGCAGUGCAUCCUACAGAGUCAGCAGUGUGAACAUGAAGGAAGUCAAAACCUCCCAGGGCCUGUAUCCUGCUCUGCCCUUAGAAGUUCCUGGAGGCUGGGUCAGGUCAGGCUUUCACACAUGACCUAGUACUUGCUUUGUUCCAACAUAUGAUUCCCAUAAAACUGCUUCUCCAUGUGUGGACUGCUAAGAAGCUACAGAUCCCCAACAUUGCAAAUCAACCCAAAUGCUAGCACUCGGAGAGCAGUUUCACCUGAGGGGAGAUUUUACAUAUUGAGAUAUUGUGAGCAUCUUUUCUCCCUGUAGUGAAAUCUCUGCCACCUUAGUAAUAAUAAGGCCCAGAAAUGAGCAGAAAGAGAAAAUGGGAAUUCAUAUUCUGCAGUAUAUAUUUCAGUGGCUUUGUACUUUUAUACUAGACCAACUCAGCCUGUCCGACUCUGAAGCAUGGAGUCAGCUAUUUUUUUGAAGAAUAUAAAAUUUCCUUAAUAUACAAGAGCCUGACAUGCCUGGUGGGUCAGAAUAUUUCAUGCUAUCAUUUGGUUAGGACAUACAAGUUUUUUUUUAACUUCAUAUAGUUAUUCAUGUCCCCUUUUAGACUGUCCAAAGCAUGGGUGUGUCAAGUAUUUCAUUCAUUGUAAAUUCUCCCGCUUUUUUUAAAAAAUAGAAACACAGGAUCUAUGUAGGAAACAUGUGAAACCUGCAACAUGGGAAUGUUAGGUUAGCAUUGUAGGAGAAGUGUGCAUCUUGGAAACAUAGAUUUGUUCUCAACAUUGUCACUUGGGUGUGUGUGGGUGUGUGUGAGUAGAUGAGUAGAUGGUGGGGGAAGUGUAUUUCCUGAUGCAAAAGAAUGAAGGCUGUUCAUGAAUGAAGAAGAAGUGAGCUCCUACAUGCUCACUUACUCUAUGGUUAACGGGAAGAAACAUUUUCCUGUAUUUCUACAAGUUCGGGGCUAUGAAAGGCCUCUAAAAGGAACACACUGGGACUAAGAAUCAGAUUCAUCAAGAUUUUUCAAGAAGAAAUGGGAUAAUUUUUUUAAAAAAAAUUGCAAUUUUGUGAUCAAAUUUAGAAUUUUAGAAGCCACAGGGAAAGUCAAGGAGAAAUGAGGGAGAAAUGAGGGAGUGAUAGUUGGGAUAUUUUAGCAGUCAUUUGGAAAAACUGGAAAAAGAGACAGAAGGAGAAAAAGGAGGGUGGAGGGAAGAGGAGGGGGAGGAGAAAUGGGAGGCACAUGGAGGAGAAGGGGAAGAAGGAGAAGCGAUAAUCAUAGCUAAUAUUUCUUUUCAGUAGAAGCAGGACCGAGGAGGCUAUUCUAAUUGGUAAUAGUUCAAGGAUGACAAUGUGCAGUGAAAUAUAUUGGUGGAAGAACACUAAUAAGGAACACAUCUUUCAACUUUACUGUUUGACAGGUAUUGUUCUGAGUGCUUUCAUGUAUUAACUCAUUUAAUCCUUCCAGGAGCCCUACGAGGUAGAUACCGGGUUUAACCAUAUCUCUUUGUGAAGGAAAUGGAGACACAGAGAGAUUAAACAAUCUAUCAAAGGCCAUAUACCCUAGUGAUAAAACGGGAAACCUGCAGAGGGUGAACAUCCCUUGCCCGAUAUGCCCAGGAUCAGCCAUAUUUUUGUACUUUGUAUUUUUUUUUCAGAUUUUGAAAUACUUUUUUUUUAUUUAGAUAUAAUGAGGUAUAUUUGGAAGGAGAUCAAAUUCUACACAUAUAACGCAUUUAUGUUUCAGGUACAUUGCACAUUCGCAGUCUGUAAAUAAUUCUGUUUACUUUUAGUGCUAAGCAUUGCAUGAAGUGUGUGUGGAGUCGCACACACUGGAGUCCAGAUCUUCCUGUUGGAGCACUCAACUUUGAUCUCCCUUCCCUCGGGGCAACUGGACUCCUUGAAAGUUCUGAGUGAUGAGUGGCUGGGCACUGCUUUCUUCUCAGGAAAGGACUGUCAACAACCUAAAAUUCAUGCCCCGGAGAAAGGACAGAUGCAGAUCAGCAAAGGACUCCACCCCAAUUUCAGGAUGCCUUAGAAAAUAACCGAGAAGUCUGAGCCGAGUUCGGAAGUUGAACCCCAUCACAGGCUUGUUCAUCGCCACAAGGUCUAAGUAGUAUUGGGGGUUUGCACCACUAAGGAUCGCUUCUAGAAAAGGACCACCUUACUGAGGCUAGUAAGAGAAUGGCCACCUAUAGCCCCAGACACCUCAGGAGAGAAACAGAAAGAGAAUGCUGGGUAAGUCACCCACGAAAAUUUGACAAAAAUAUUAAAUAAUGGGAACUUGUCACCUGCAGACCCAUCUCGCUAGUCUUCACAACUCUUCUUGUGAUGAUUCUGCCGCACAACUAAACUAUUUAGCUUACAGUAUUGGCUUUUUAAAAUACACGUGAAUUAGGUAAGUUAAUGCACACAGAGUGCUUCACACCAAAAAGCAACUCAGUGUUAGCAAUUAAUACAAUUAUAAGUGUCAAUUUAGCCUGUUAAUUUCUAUUAUUGGUUUUUAAUUGUCCUUUAAUUUACUAUUUUAUAUGAUUUUUUUAUUUUUAUUACUACUUAGUCUGUUGUUUUGAACCCUUGUGUCCUUGCUGAUGGCGUUUAUUUAACCACUUGUCCCAGCUUACUCGCUUUUAUUGUCCUCCUUUAGUACUUGUGUAUCUCAACUGUUUUUAACCCUCAUUCUGUAUCCCAAAUACAGUUUCAUCAGACCCCUGCCAACUUUGUCCUGUUGUCCCUUUACAAGUGAAUAGUGUAUUUCUAUUUCAUACUUCUAUUUCUUACUGUCUCAUGCUUUAAAAAUUAUUAACCCUUGCCAUAUAUUUCUCCGUUUAUCUUCCUUAAUUUUAUUCAAAUGAUAUCAUAUUCAUAUCCCUGUGCCUUUACUCUUUCUAACUUGUCUUUGAAGUGUUAUGUGCAUAAGGAGGAAGGAAACUUGAUGAAGGUCCUGGGCCACCAAGGUGAAGGAGGCUUUCUUAUUCUUUGUCUCCAAGAAAUGUCUCUUAAGUAGAUGCUGUUCCAGUUUCUUCCCCGUGGACCUUUCAGCUCCUAACACCGUCAUUUAACAUGCAAAAGCUAUUAAAAUCUUCACAGGCAAAAGCCACGCCCCUUCUCCCCUUCUACUGCUCUCCAGAUUAGAAAAAUAAGUACUGGCAACAAAUCUACUCUGAUAUGAGAACUCUACAUGCCAGACGUGAGCUUUCUUCCCUCCUGUCACAAUGAACCUCCCGAUCUCUGUAAGGGAUGCUUGGUAUAUGAUCUCUCAUCGCUUCUGGAUUUCAUGGGGUCUCGGAGUAAGAAAUCAUCACCAAGGUAAAGGGUAGGCAUAUGCAGGAUAGGACUGCUCUUAUCAUUGUCCAGCUUUAAUUUUGAUGACGGAAUUGACGAAAUGUAAGCCUUCAGAGAGGAUACCCAACAGAGGAGGGAUUCAGUUCUUAAGAAUUCAUUGCCAUACCCUUUAUGUUCCAAAAUAAUGUAUCCCAGGGCAACUUAACAGAUGUUUAUAAUGCAAGGACGUUGGCAACUCCCACCAUUUAAGCAGUUUAAGAACUAUGGGCUCAAGGGUCCAUUUGGUCAAAAGUGAGACAGAGGCUUUAGAGUAUGACUACUGGGUUCACACCUGGCCCUGCCACUUACAUGUCAGCUGAUCGUGGGUGAAACACUUAAUGAUUCUGUUCUCAGUUGACAGACUAUAGUAGGAUCUCAAUAAAUAAUCUGCACUAGUGCUCCUGGCAUAGCCGGUGGACCCACAGCUGAACGCUAGAACUGUAAGCACACAGUGGGGUAGUGAAGCAUGUCUGCUGUCUUUUUCCCCACUCGGAAGGUGCACAGAGCCCUCAAACUCGUGGGAGAUCUUUCCGGAAUUCUGAGCUUAUGAGGGAAGGACUGAUACUUGCUGUGUCAGAGCACCAUUCCCUGGCAGUGUCCCUUUGGUGGAAGCUCAGUAGAGGCCGUGAUUGUUCGUUUCCUUGAGUGGGUGGAUGUCAGUCUCAUGCAAGUGCUGACUGUGAGGGAAAAGUUUUUGCGUGAGUUUGGGGAGGCAAGGAAGACAGAGUGGACUUGCGACUCAAGAACCCCAGAUUAAAAGGGGGAAAUGACAAAAGAAGAAAGGGAAGCUUUAACAUCCUAAGCUUUUCUUAUGAAAAGGGGGGUUUAUAAUUCCCUUUAAAAGAAAGCAUAUCAGAUCAAAAGCAAGGGCAAAUAAAUGUAAAAUAAAUCACCUUAGGUGACUCUAAAUGGCUUUCCCAGCACUCCUUAGCUCCAAGACAUGAGGGUGAGGUCAGCUGGGAGAGAGAUAGGAGGAGAACCUUAGACUGCCUGGAAAAGUCCAGACUGCUCUGUGCAUACCCAUGGACUUCUACCUUCUCCCUCUAUCUGCCCUUUUGUUUGUCUUUAUAAAUUGUGAGAACGAGGCAGGUGUAUGGAGAUACAGCACAGAAACCAAACAAGUGGACUGUACCCACCAAAAUGCCAAGAAUGCACACUCACAACUUGCACAUUUAGUUGUACAAAACUUGGCCUCAGAAGUAAAAACAAAACGGUAUGUGUAAACACCAACUCUAGUCAUCUCCACACGCAACAGCAACAUUUACGUAAGGGAAAGUGUACAAUUUUCUGCCAUCACAGUGUGGAAUGUUCCAUGAACUGAUGAAAGUUUGAAGGGUGCACCUGUGUGUGCAUGAGAACAUGGGUAAAGUGGCAGAAUCUAGCCAGUGAGUACAAAGGUUACACUGCACCACAUCAUGUGUGUGAGUGCACGUGUGUGUAGGUUUGUGUGCACAUGCAUGGGACACAAGUGGAGGGCAAGACAAACUCGGGUGUCAAUUCUCAGGAGUCUUGGGCACUUACACGCUUUGAGAGAGUCAGUCCUGCACUAGUCUGGGAUUUUGCUACCUGGACUAGAUUUGGUGGCCUGAGCACUUCCAGGGAUCCACCUGCCUCUGCCUACCACCUUCUCUUGCCAAAAUUAUAGGAGUGUAUAACUGGGCUGGCUUCUGGGUUCUUCGUGGGAACAUGGGUUCUGGGGAAUUGAGCCAAGGUUCUCAUGUUUGCAAGGCUAACUGAGCUGUCUCCCCAGACCCUUGCACUAUUAAAUUCUUCCUUUUGGGGGAGGGUAUAUCUGUAAAUGCUUAAAGAAAACUCUUGGAAAACUAAAGAAUUUUGUGAAGAAACCAAUAUUAAUUACUUCUCUUAGGGAAGUCUUUUUUUUUUUUUAUUAACUUGAGUAUUUCUUAUAUACAUUUCGAGUGUUAUUCCCUUUCCCAGUUUCCGGGCAAACAUCCCCCUCCCCCCUCCCCUUUCUUAUCGGUGUUCCCCUCCCCACCCUCCCCCCAUUGUCCCCCUCCCCCCAACAGUCUAGUUCACUGGGGGUUCAGUCUUAGCAAGCUUCCCCUUCCACUGGUGCUCUUACCAGGAUAUUCAUUGCUACCUAUGAGGUCAGAGUCCAGGGUCAGUCCAUGUAUAGUCUUUAGGUAGUGGCUUAGUCCCUGGAAGCUCUGGUUGCUUGGCAUUGUUGUACAUAUGGGGUCUCGAGCCCCUUCAAGCUCUUCCAGUUCUUUCUCUGAUUCCUUCAACGGGGGUCCUAUUCUCAGUUCAGUGGUUUGCUGCUGGCAUUCGCCUCUGUAUUUGCUGUAUUCUGGCUGUGUCUCUCAGGAGCGAUCUACGUCCGGCUCCUGUCGGUCUGCACUUCUUUGCUUCAUCCAUCUUGUCUAAUUGGAUGGCUGUAUAUGCAUGGGCCACAUGUGGGGCAGACUCUGAAUGGGUGUUCCUUCAGUCUCUGUUUUAAUCUUUGCCUCUCUCUUCCCUGCCAAGGGUAUUCUUGUUCCCCUUUUAAAGAAGGAGUGAACCAUUCACAUUUUGAUCAUCUGUCUUGAGUUUCAUUUGUUCUAGGCAUUUAGGGUAAUUCAAGCAUUUGGGCUAAUAGCCACUUAUCAUACCACCCUGAACGCGCCCGAUCUCGUCUGAUCUCUUAGGGAAGUCUUAGUGUUAGGAAGGAUUUAAAGACCUGAUGUCCUCAUGCGGACUUUCAAAAGCUUAGAAGUUACAAGGGGAUCUAGUGAACUCUCAGAAACCAAUUUGAUAGGUCUGGUUGGGAUACAAAGUUCUUCACUGCUCACUGGCCCCCAUGUGACACUGCUGAGGUGACAGCCACACUUUGCCCAGACUAACAGGGCAAGAAGGGGGCAGCAAGGCAGAGGCUGUGAGAAAGGAUUGCAAAGGUCACCAGAGGGAACUGAAAUAGAGCCUGCACUUUGAAGAAGCGUGGAAUGGUUGAAUCUUAGCCAAAGGGCUCAACAUGAACAUGACCUGGGCAGGCUAGAAAAAUUAUAAUUAGGGGAAUUAAGUAGCUGAAAAUCACUGCAAGUAGAGAUUAUAAUAAAUGUGGGUAAUUCUAUAUUUAUAUUUUAAAACUUCCUCCAUAUUAUUUCCUUGCUUGAAGCAUAUUCUUAUGCUAAUGUAUAUUAACUGCCUACACAUGACUAAUUUUAAACAAGGGUUCUAUUUAUCUUAGAACAGCAAAAAACAUUAUUUUCUGUAAUUUUUUUAAGGGUGUUUAUCCUUUGUUUGUAGCAUGGCCAUACCUUUCACACUAUUGUAUGACUCUGGGUAUCUUGGUACAGCAUAGGCCUCAUUGCCCAGGAUAGCAGCCAGUACUUACAAAUGGCUAUUUUGAAAUUAGGUAAAAUUAAAAACUCAUUUUUUUAAAACACUAGUCAUACCAAGUACUUUAUAGCAAUGUGUUAACUUACUAAACAAGAUUAAAAUAGACUAUUCUUACCAAGACAAAAAUCCCAUUGCUGUAGUCACUUGUAAUAAAAUAAUUCACGGCAAAGGCCAAUCAUAUUUAUAAGCAAUUCAUAUAUUUUAGUUGGUUGGACUGCAUAUACAAAUGCCCCUUUUGACAUCUAGUUCCAAGAUGCCUUUAAGAUAAUGUAUUAUAUUGAUUACAUUAGGUGGUAUAGCUCUCUGUCCAAGAACCAGAUGACUAAGGGAGAUAAUUUCCACCCCUUUUAGCUUCUGGUGAUGUUAUGGAUUGCCAGGGCUAUGACCUAUUAGUGUUUCUAUUACUGAUAUGGGAUAUUAGAAGUACUCAAUAAAUAUUUGUUGAAUGAAUCAUUUCUUCAUUUGCUUACCAUACUGUAAAACUGAAGCAGAUUUAGAUAUGAGGAUUUCUAAGUAUUUAGUAUUUAGAGAUCUGGAAAAGAAUCUCCUCAGACUAAAAUAUAACCAGAGAAGCAGAAACUUCAAAAACUUACCCACUUUUACUUUUGUAUUAGGAACAGUGGGAUCUUUCAAAGAAGAGGAAGAGGAGGAGGGAGAGGAGUAGGGGGGAGGAGGAGGGGGAGGAGGAGGAGGAGCAGCAGCAGCAGCAGCAGCAACAACAACAAAGUAAUAGUCUACCCAACACAACAACAACAACAACAACAACAACAGAGUAAUAGUCUACCCAACACAAGCUUGUCUCCGAACACGGAUUUCUUCAGGAAGCAAGAGUAGUCCAGGCUUAAUUUAAUAUGCUAAAUGUUUACUGAAGUUUAUGGGGACAUGGCCCUUUCAGAGCAACCACAAAAGUAACUUUCCUUUUUGAAGUUGUGGUUUUUCUUCACAGAGUAGAAGGCAGGAGCCUGAAUUCCAUAUGAGCCUGGAAUAAUUUCUCAGCACCUGAGAGUGGGCCAAGCUGGACAGGGUGCCAGAAACAUCCAUUUCAAUGAAAAGAACGUGGAGGACAACAGUCAUUUCACAACCUAGAAUUUUCCCAGCAAUGCAAUUUCUCCUUUGUGUAUUUGAGCAUCUCUCCUGGUGCUAUAUUGAUUUGGGGAUAGGAAAAUAAUCACUAUUCAUAAAUAUAAUAUUACAGUAGACAAUGGCUUAUCUAAUGUUCAGUUCAAUUGUUCUUUUUGGAGUUCAGGAAGUUGAAUCCUCACAAAGCUGUCCAUAGUCCCAUGGGCAGAACUGAGACACACACCAUGCCCGUGUACACAGAGUAUGGACGCAAUGCUCUUGGAGUGGAAACACCACUAACCUGGCGGUCAACUAAGUUUACCGUGGAUCUACAAGGAGAUAAGGAGCAUGCAGAAAAGAUGCUUGUUGUUGCACUGAAACAACCCAAAGUAUGGAUGUCUGGGAGGUGGGAAGAACACUUUUUUAAGAUAUUAUUGGUUGUUUUUGAGUUGAUUUGCACCAGGGGGUUUCGUUUUUUGAUUCUUGUUUUUUUUUUAACAUGUAUGUGUUUUGCUCACAUGUAUGUUCAUGCACCUUGUGCUUGCCUGAUGCCUGUAGAGGCCGGAAGAGGGGAUGCCCUGGGAGUAAGAGAGUUGUAAGAAACAAUUCUAGGUUCUCUGGACCAGCAGUCAACACUCUUAACCACAGAGCCAUCUCUUUAGUGCCAUCAUCAGAGGUUUGUAUGAUUUCAGGACUUUUGUAACUUGACCUGUAUGUGACAUAUGUGACAUAUGUACUUCCCUCAAAGAUGAAAAAGCACUUAUGAUUAUUGAAUGGGCGAAAAUCCAGGCCAGUGAAAAUGAAUGAACAAGUAAGUCAGUGCAUGAUCCGGCCAUAUUUGCUUCCAGAGCAUUUAGGCUGGCAGCUAGGAAAAAUGAUGGAUGUGUAGAACAUUGAAACGCUGUGACUUUUUUUUUUUGAUUCAUUAACAACUAUGAGCUGAAAAAUAAAAAGCCCUCUAUUUUUUAAAAUGUCUCUCAUGCAGGAGUAGACACAGUAUUAACUUUUAAAGGUCUUCUAAUCUAGGCAGAGUUCUGUCAUGAAGAAAACUCAUCAGAGUCUGCCCAUGCAUGUGUGGACCUCUCCAUUUUUUCUCAGCCCCUUCCCAUGACCAGUCUGGGGCUCUGCCCCUCAUCCCUGGUCACAGGUCCCGAAUGUCAUUCACAGGCAAACUGGAAGCACAUCUGGACACCAUCUAGCCCUUUCAAAAGCCACAUUCAAAUUUAAUUGACGAGAGAAUUAAACUCGGUAUAAGUAAAAUGAAUUUUUAAUGAUUUGCACGUGAAUUUAAUGAUUACCCCUUCUCUCAGCCCUACAACCUCAAACAUGGCAACACUAUCUUAAUACACACAAUUGAAAGGUCUGUCAGAAGCAGCUAAGGAAAGAAAAGCCACAGCGUGUGGCUGAGCGCUGCUAAAUAAACCCUGUGAUAUCUAAGUGCUUGGCACAUGUUUGCUGAAAUGGUAGGAUAUUCUGUCUUAAUGAUUUGCAUUUAUUUAUUUAUUUAUUUAUUUAUUUAUUUAUUUAUUUAUUUAUUUAUUUAUUUGAGCAAUGUCCACUUUAUUCGUUCUCCACCUAACAUGAGAAGAAAACCCAAACAAAACACCUGCAUUACAAUUUUUCAAGAUAAAAGCUUCAUCUCUUCUAUUUUUCCAUUUCUACAAUUAUCACAAACCAAAAAUUAGUGCGUUUCCCCCUGAUGACUGGAUGUCGUCACUGGCGUUUUCCCCCGGAUGACUGGAUGUCGUCACUGGCACACUGCCUCACAGAGAUAAACACUAACACUCACAACUUUCACUAAAACCUUUGAGUAAGCAAAUCUCCAGGCGGAUUGACCUUCCAGGCUGGCUGCAGCAAAUUCACCCCCUCAACUCCCAUUUCAAAACAAUUUAAAAUAAAUAAUCUCACCCUGCAGGGUAGUGGUUCUGCUUUUUACAAAUCUCUAACUCCAAAGGGAAGGAUUUCUUGGAGUCAGACUUCUUCCUCCUGCACAUUUGAACUCAAGAUACAAUCUGGGGGGGAAAUGGGGUAGAGGGGAGAGGGGAGGUUAGAAAGUUGAUCUGGUGCCCCUUGAGCUGAGGAAAUCAACGGUCACACUGUAGAAUUGUAUAGUGUGAAUUCCGAAAGAGACUUUCAGGGCGGUUUGCUGUGAUCCAAGAUGAUAACUUUCCUCCUUUUGGGUUGCUUCCACAUCCCUCCCAAUCAGGGUAUGCAGACUCUUGCUCCACAGUGUGUGAGGAGAGGGUGGAGAAUCAUUAGACAUGGCCGCCCAACCCACAGGUGCUCUCCGGGAGAGUCCCUAAAUAACAAAGGAGCUCUGAGGCUGUAACUGACAGGACCUACGGAGAUGAUGUUCCGUACCAUCCCAUACAACAGCUCACAGGCUGAGUGGAGGAGAAGAUCCUUGGAUUUUAUACAAAAUACAUGCUCCGAAAGGCUUCGAGAGCUGUUAGCUUUUGAAUCCGGGUCUUGUUGUGGAGCCCAGGUUCAUCUUAACCUUAAAAAGUUUCCCAUCUCCCUCCUAUGCGUGCACUGCUAUACCCUGUCUAGAAAGGUCACUCCCAAAAGUAUAUAUUUAAGAUCAUUUGGGGGUUUAGAACACAGCCUAUUUAUGGUUAAGUGAAGCACUUAAAAUAAUCAUGAUUACUAAAUACCUUAGAGCUGAUACAUUAGAUAUGCCCAUUAAAAAUGUUUUGAAUUUGGUACAUCUUUUUCUUCUCCUGAUUGGCAUAUAUAUAUUAUAUAUACAUGUAAACACACAUAUGUAGAGAUAAAUGAUAUAAUGGUAAUAAAUGUGCUCUGUGAAUUUAAGUGCUAUAAGAGAAGUUUGUGAGAAAAACGAAGGAAAGGAUUAAUAGGAAGAAAGAUGCUAAGUAGGAACUGUGCUUGAAGCAAUAAAUAAUGAUUGGGACAGGAGUGAGAUAGUGAAGGUAGCCUAGGAAUGAAGGGACGCCCAUGUGGAUGACAGAGAGAAGUGAAUGCAGGGGUUGAAGAGACAGCUCAUAGGUAUCAUCUCCAGGGGUACCAGGCACUCACAUGGUACCCAGACAUAGAAGAAGAGGGUUAAAGAUGUAACCAAGUUAAGGUCAAUGGGCUGCAUGAAUAGGAUCCCAGAGUUUAAGGACAGAUCGGUUGGGCCAACAAAUAUGGAAAAUCCUGUACGUGGACUCAGAGUUCGGGCUGCUAAGGCAGGCGAUCAAGACUGCUAAUGAUUUCUGAGCAAAGAAUGGCACUGGAAGCCUUCAGUGGGGAUGUGCAAGAGAGGAGACAACCGAAGACAGCAGCAGCGUGGAGUCUGCGGCAGAACCCUAGUUAAUGAACUGCUUCCAGAACCAGGGCAGUGGCAGGGGUGAUGAAAAGAAAGAGUCUAGUAGUUAGGCCGUCUUCAAGAAUGUCUGACUGACAGAGAAAUGGAAUAUUUUCCCUGAGCUACUGAGAACCUCUCUGUGUGGAUCAAGAAUUGUCUGUGGUUAUGUGAAAACACAAAGUAUUUAAAGACGUAGAGUUUACCAUUCACGCUGGGCAACAGGGUGUCUCGAGGUCUUGUAUAACUCUGUGUCCAUUUCAAAUCCACGUCUUUGCAUCAGAAUAGUGCCCUAUCCUACCCUCAAGAAGAAACACCCACCGUGAAAACUGUUCAUGAAGAGGAGAGAAAAAAGACCAAACCAGAGAGUUAUGCUUAGCCAAUCCUUUUGCUAGCUGCCUCCUCCUUUUUCCCGGAAGCGUGCCUGGAAUUACCGAGACAGGACCACCACUGUUAUGGGACCUUGCCUCUAGAACUUUGUAAUCCCAUUGCUCUGAGCUCGGUUCAAGGCGAGUGGUCCACAUGUUACACGACUUAAAAAACAGACACCAGCUGGAUAAGAUAUGGGUGCUGUGGAAACCCAGCCAGGAGGCAGCUGAACAGUGCCCAGAAAACGUCCUCCAUCAAAUGAGACACUACCCAGAUCCCAGCUGGGAGUUCCACUGCUGCAUUCGGCUUAGGGGUUGUUUAUUUUUGCCUUUUGGCUCAGAUCUUUCAUUCCUGUCCUUGUCUCCUCUUGUGUCUCCUCCCUUUCUCUCUUUCUCUAUCUUGGCAGUUAGAAGUCUACUCUGUGCAUGCCUAUGCCCUAGCUUCUAAAACCACCAUCUAAAAAUACAUCUUGCUACAACAUGCCUCAUCUCCUGUAGGUGGCCCAUUUAAGAAUGGACAGCAAAGCUACGUAUCAUGUCGCCACUGUCCUUCGAUGCACUUAGCCUGUAUAUUAAAGACUCAGAAAUAAAGUCAUCACAAUUUACAGGAAAAAAUUAAUACACGAGUGACUCGAGUGGCAUUUUUCAGCCAACACCCCCACUUUUUUUGUUUUUUGGGGGGGUUUUUUUGGGUGCUGGGAUUAUGUAAUCAGACAUAAUUGUCCCCACAUGUUUGUUACACUGUCUCAGAAAUGAUUUCCAGCCCACCAGAUGAUGUCAGAAGGGUCAAUACUGGAUGUCUACCCAACCCUGACCCCAUGAAGCACUGCUUACUACAGUACUGCAGUUAGGGAUUAAAAUAGGCCACAUAAGAAACUGUCAGACCCACUUUGCACUGAGUCAUAAGGACUUCCUUCAGUUUUUUUCUUUUUUGGCAUACAUCUGCAUUUUUUUUGUUCCCACCUCUUCUACAGUCUUCACAGUCUUCUCUUUCAUUUAAUGCACAAAAUCAUUUCUGGAAAAGUCUAGUAUCUCAUAAACGCUCAGCAAUACCCAGAUGUGUGUGCACUUAAUUCUCUAGCCAGUCAGCUCCUUCCUUCACUUGGAUUCUUUGAGAAUGCGAGGGCCACAUGGAGCACUGUGCUCUCCUAAGCAUGUGGCCCAGCCAGCCAACAUUAACACGUUAUCAUAGUUAUGAUUGUUAUCAUAGGCACAAUAUGGAGACAAGCUCCUCUCUGGACUUUCCUAGAAAAUGGCAUGACUGUUGAAAGUGUGUUCAACAGGACAGGCUGACCUUGCCUUUCUUUGCAAAGAGAGAACGGUAGUUAAGAAAUGAGCUCAGCAAGAUUCUGCCUGAUAACAGGAGAGAAAGAAUUCUUAACUGUAAGUAGCAAUAGAUGUCACCCCUCAAAAUUACUACCUAGUGACUGGCUUAUUUUUACCAUGUCCUUACCAAGACUGUUACCACAGGUACUAGCCAAACCAUGUAUGAGGCUCUCAAAUUAUGUGAAACCUUCGAUGUUAAGCAAGGGACCACAAAUCCAUGUCUCCGAUGAUUCUAUUCAGUGUUCUAUUCAGACCGUUCUGAUGAAGCUGUCUCUGUGAGGGCUGCAUCAAAACUGUUAUACAUCACCUACUCUUUGUCUUUUACGGGAUAAGAAUUCUUCUUCUUUACAUGUAUGUGGUUUAUAUAUGUGCUUGUGUGGGAUGUGCAAGUUGGUAUGUGUACAAGUGCUGGGUGUGUGUGUGUGUGGAGGCCAAAGGUUAAAGUUUGGUGCCUUCCUCCACUGCUGUUCACUUCCUUUCUUAAGACUGGGUCUCUCUCACUGGCUAAAGAGCUCUAGGGGUCUCCCUGUCUCUGCUUCCCUAGUGCUGGGUUUAUGGAUGUGUGGCCAGAUGACUUUUUACAUGGGCACUGUGGAUACAACCUUAGAUGUUCAUACUCAAAUAGCCUGAUGGAGCCAUCAGCCCUACCAUUCUCUGAUUUUAAAAUAAUUAUUCUUCAUCUGAUGAAAUAAUUGUUCUUCUCUUGAUUCCUUCCAGAUAUGCCAUAAUUGGGUAGGACAAGACUCAAUGCAGAGGCAAAGGGGCCACCUCCCACAUCCUCACAGACAUUAUACUUCAAUUAGAACAGACUGAGAUCACAUUAUUAAAUCACAUCAUAUUGCCUUCCUUCCCACUCCCGUUGUUAAAAAGUUAUUUUAACAAUACCAAUAGCAAUGAACAAUAGCACGGUUCUCCAUCAACUAACCGAAGCUCUGCUUUCUUCAUCAAUUCCGAGCCAAUCAUCCCACGAGAGUCUCCUGUGACCUCUAAAAUCCUGGAAAUCACCCCUGAACUGAAGAACAACCUCCUUUUCCAGGCUUCCCUCACGUCCCAGCUUGCUGUCAUCGCCGCUGAGAUAGCAGACGGUUGAUCUGAGAAAUCAAGUUGGAUUGCUGUCCCGAAUCUACACUUGGUUCUCCUUGUGUCUGUCUGAUCGAUUUCACUCUGUGCGACAUAGCUUGUCGCUAUGAAUUUUCAUGCUAGUCAGGAGCCGCCAGCGCACCCAAGAACAAGUGGAAGAUGGUCCACACCCCCUCCCUGUCCCUUCAACAUACUCGGCCUUGUCAAUUUUUGAAAAUCAUCUAUUGACAGAUUGGAAAAAUGGUGUUUUAUUCUUAUGGCCAUAGACCUGGAUGCAAUGGAUUUGGGCCC
Molecule: non-coding RNA, 29883 nt
Organism: Rattus norvegicus (Norway rat)
Lineage: Eukaryota; Metazoa; Chordata; Mammalia; Rodentia; Muridae
Source: RefSeq, a predicted model, not a curated record